Molecule: unclassified non-coding RNA, 287 nt
Filed under: uncultured fungus
Lineage: Eukaryota; Fungi
Description: partial contains small subunit ribosomal RNA, internal transcribed spacer 1, and 5.8S ribosomal RNA
Rfam family: Eukaryotic small subunit ribosomal RNA (bases 1-73)
Source: RNAcentral
GCAAACUUGGUCAUUUAGAGGAAGUAAAAGUCGUAACAAGGUUUCCGUAGGUGAACCUGCGGAAGGAUCAUUAUAAGAGAGAAGGAGGGUAGAACUCCUUUUUUUAACACUUGUGAACAGUGGUGAGUAAAUAUUUUCUUCAUUCACACAUGUUGUGGAUGGAGAAAAGUUUGAAUGUGAUAAAAACACGAGAUUUUAACAUAAUAAUGAUUGAUUACAAUAUAAUAUUAUAAAUGACAACUUUCAACAAUGGAUCUCUUGGCUCUCGCAUCGAUGAAGAACGCAGC